RNAcentral lists this long non-coding RNA (1261 nucleotides) under Anser cygnoides (Swan goose). RNAcentral describes it as "lncRNA (ENSACDG00005008190.1)". The record is from RNAcentral. Lineage: Eukaryota; Metazoa; Chordata; Aves; Anseriformes; Anatidae.
AUGUUUUUUUACACACUAAAAUAUAUUAAUUGUCUUUCAGACACUGGCUUGCCUGGUACACCUCCAUAUGCUAGUAGAAAUAUUAAAACAGAAAGUCCAGGUUCAAGUAUAUCAACCAAAUGGAAAAGUUUUUCAUUUUCACUACUGUGUGAAGUGACCAUUGAAGAAAAUUUCAAGCAAAGACAACUAAGCAGCAAGAGACAGCAAAACAGCAUUAAGCCACUAGUCUUACUGUCCAUCUGCAAGGCAACUAGAAGGUAAGUAUCAAUAUAAGUAAGUUUCAUUAUCCAAAAUAUUGAACUAAGUAAGAACAAGUCAUAUAGUAUAGAACAAAGUUAGGUACCUAACGACAUUUUUUUCACUAUGUAAUCCACUGUUUUGAGACAUAAAAUUUCCUAGUACCAGUCAGUGACUCAUACUUUUGAAAGGAACCCAUUUUUCAUGAUGAGGUUAAAAGGUAGAUUGAGGUGCUGAACUUCAGGUUACCAGUUGCAUUGCCAGGUGAUUUAUUCUAAGCCAGAGCACAGACAGAGCCAAAUGAGACCGUAGAGAAAUAGCUGGGUUACAACCACAGUGCUGCUGUCAUUGCACCAAAUUUUCUCUCCUAGUCUCAGGCAUAUAGAAUUGUAUCUACUUGCAUGUUAAAAUUCUGAUGAGGGAAAAUGAAUUUGUAUUUGCAAGUCAAAUAUGAGUGAAUAUUUCAGAGGCCAUAUCUGUGACUAAAGUGCUUUAUUAACUUUUUUUGCAAUUUAUACAUGCAAUGAGAAAGUCACCUUCAGGAAGACAACUUGUGAUGUGCUUAAAAUCAUGCUGACUUGAAAGCUAUGAAAAAAAAAAUAUCGCUUUCUUUUUCUCACUUUCUUCCAUCACAUUCUUAUUUGUUCGUUGUUGUUUUUUCUUAAACUGAUUUUUUUCAAUUUAAGAGAGUCACACAUCUGUUGGAAAAAGCUAUUCAUUAACAAGAAAUCCAUGGUGAACAUGGUCAGAGAGACAUACUGAAAGCUUUAUAAGAAGUCUACCAUCUACACAAAACAAACAUUUAAAUUCAAUAUAGCUUAACAAAUAAUGAGAUUACUGAUUUGAUUCUUGUUGUUUUGUUUCCCCUCCUCCCACACAAUGCAAAGACGAUUUGAUGCUUUUGUCAGCAUUACAUAUUCAAUUUUACCUUCUGAUAAUGCUCUGUGGUGACAACCUAAGCAUAUUUCCUGAGAGCUUUGACAGAAUCCCUUUCAGGGCAUACCAUCAGUUUUAGCUACAUUCU